AUUUAUUUCACACUCCGGACCACUUAUUUUCGCUGCGCGAUCGCGUCGAGGCAAACGUCAGCUGUUAGCAACGUUGUUAGCUUUGUGAGCACCAGAAUCGCACAUUCAAUUUGUUUGUGGGGAUAUGGGUGAUGUUAAGAGUUAGUUUUUGGAUUAGAAAGAGCCUUAACAUUUUAAGCACUAACAAUAAUAAUAUCCAACAAAACUUUAUUUUAGUUAUUUUGAUAAUAGUAGUGUUUCAGCUUUGUACUUCCCCUCAUUAAACAUACCUGUACUUUGCUUGAUUGUUUGCAUGGAAACAAGAAGAUGAGGGAAUAAAGAGACCACGUGCAUCAUCUCUACACACCCAGCACCCAGGAAUGUCUGAUUUCUCUGUUCUGCAACCAGCGUUAUGCAUGCCCCUCUGAACUCAAAAAGAUCCUGGCUUCUGCAUCCAGCCCCAUUUGGUCCACAACUCUACCCCAGGCCCGCUCUCUCCCUCAGCCAAGUGGAGUCCCUACAAAACGUGGUGCACAACUGGAGACAGGACAACGAUUUCACCUGAUACCACGUGACGACGAGCUGAAGCACACGCAUUUUAAAAGUGAGUUUUUUAUUAGAGUAGCCUCU
RNAcentral lists this long non-coding RNA (609 nucleotides) under Neogobius melanostomus (round goby). RNAcentral's name for it is "lncRNA (ENSNMLG00000019482.1)". The record is from RNAcentral. Lineage: Eukaryota; Metazoa; Chordata; Actinopteri; Gobiiformes; Gobiidae.